CACGGUGAAUACGUUCCCGGGCCUUGUACACACCGCCCGUCACACCAUGGGAGUGGGUUGCAAAAGAAGUAGGUAGCUUAACCUUCGGGAGGGCGCUUACCACUUUGUGAUUCAUGACUGGGGUGAAGUCGUAACAAGGUAACCGUAGGGGAACCUGCGGUUGGAUCACCUCCUUA
RNAcentral lists this ribosomal RNA (176 nucleotides) under Escherichia coli. RNAcentral's name for it is "partial 16S ribosomal RNA". It matches the Rfam family "Bacterial small subunit ribosomal RNA", at positions 1358 to 1533 of the family's 1533-position model. Lineage: Bacteria; Pseudomonadati; Pseudomonadota; Gammaproteobacteria; Enterobacterales; Enterobacteriaceae. RNAcentral also lists the same sequence under 3 other names. The record is from RNAcentral.